UCAUACGGAGGAUCCAAGCGUUAUCCGGAAUUACUGGGCGUAAAGAGUUGCGUAGGUGGCAGAGUAAGCGAAGUGUGAAAUCUCACGGCUCAACCGUGAGGCUAUGCUUUGAACUGCUCAGCUAGAGAGCGAGAGAGGUAGAUGGAAUUUCUAGUGUAGGAGUGAAAUCCGUAGAUAUUAGAAGGAACACCGAUGGCGUAGGCAGUCUACUGGCUCGUUUCUGACACUAAGGCACGAAAGCGUGGGGAGCAAAUGGGAUUAGAUACCCCAGUAGUCCACGCUGUAAACUAUGCUUGCUAGCUGUUAUGAGUAUCGACCCUCGUAGUAGCGAAGCUAACGCGUUAAGCAAGCCGCCUGGGGAGUACGGUCGCAAGAUUA
This 378-nucleotide ribosomal RNA is filed under the name uncultured bacterium. RNAcentral's name for it is "bacterial SSU rRNA". It matches the Rfam family "Bacterial small subunit ribosomal RNA", at positions 521 to 896 of the family's 1533-position model. The record is from RNAcentral.